GGAUAUAGCUCAGUUGGUAGAGUGCUUGCCUUGCAGGAACAAGGUCCUGGGUUCAAUCCCCAGCACCA
This 68-nucleotide transfer RNA is filed under the name Marmota monax (woodchuck). Its description in RNAcentral is "tRNA.Ala". The record is from RNAcentral. Lineage: Eukaryota; Metazoa; Chordata; Mammalia; Rodentia; Sciuridae.